This 433-nucleotide non-coding RNA is filed under the name Patagioenas fasciata monilis. RNAcentral's name for it is "Eukaryotic small subunit ribosomal RNA". It matches the Rfam family "Eukaryotic small subunit ribosomal RNA", at positions 666 to 1111 of the family's 1831-position model. The record is from Rfam by way of RNAcentral. Lineage: Eukaryota; Metazoa; Chordata; Aves; Columbiformes; Columbidae.
AAAGAGUACUACUACUACUACUACUACUAUUACUACUAUUACUACUACUACUUAAAAAAAAAAAAAGCAAACCAGCAAAACCCAAAACUUUAGAGUGCACACAUUGAGAAGUUUGAUACAUUUUUCUGAAGAAAUCAAAGUGUUCAAAGCUGGCUGGCCAACAGUGCACUCCAGCCAGGAAUAACAGGAUAGGACUCUGGCUCUUUUUUUGUUGUUUUUUGACCACAAUUAAGAGAAAAGGCUGGGAGCAUUCAUAUUGUGCAUCUUGACCUGGAAUUCUUGGACCAGAGAAAGAUGAACUAAAGCAAAAACAUUUGCCAAGAAUGUUUUCAUCAAGCAGGAACAAAAGCUGGAGGCUUGUGGCCAACUCACUGUCCAGUGGUGUUGAUCCCAUAAUUCUCUGUGCAGUUCUCAGGACACCCAAGUUUCUGGU